GUUAAGUAGUAGGCCGCAGGCUCAGCAAUCGAAAAUAGUCAGCAGUGAAAAAUGACAAAAGUGUGGCAAUGCUUAAUAUAGGUGGAUAUCAACAAGCAGUAACAAAAGCCUUUGAUUCUCUUCCUGAAACUCCUAAACAUGCAUCGUAGGAGAAAGUUUUUUUUACAAGCUUCUACCAGCUACGAAUUUAAAACAUGAAGAAAGAAAAAAAAACAAAAGGAAAAUCCUACAACAGAAGAUAUGUUGGGGUUGGUUUUUUUGAAAAUCGUCUUGGUCGGUUAUUAGAAGAGGGGAUUGGCAUUUUGAAAAGGGGGGAACCAAAGUCCUUCAGGGAGAAAUAGCAAGAAGUAAGAAAACACAGAAAAAAAAAAGAUCUUCAUCUUCAUCUGGAGAAGCCCAAAGCACGGGGGAAGGAUCAAGAAAGGGAGAGUUUUCUUUCAAAAGGGAUAAGGAAGAAGAGGCAUCAUUCAUAGAAAAGGGAAGGGAGAAGCCAGCCAGCCUGAGGAAAGGAAGAGGUCAAGGUUGUAGCAAUCGAGUCUUCAAGAGGGUAUAAUAAAGCUUGGAGACCAUGGUUGAGCCAUCCAAGAAGCAUGUGAAGCCAAGGAAAGCAAAGGAGCUAAAAAGCGGAGAAAAAAAGGUAACUUUCGGAUUGGAGAGCUUUGCUUCUGGAUUAGAAAUGAAAGGAAAUUAGCUUCUGGAUUGUAAUCUGCACCCAGCCACAACCUUGCCUGGCUCAGCCACUGCGUAUCAGAAUUUGAAUUUUGCAUGUUUUCCUUGUUUGCUUUGAGUGGGAAGCGUGACCAAGCUAACUUGGCUCCCAAGCUCAACUUUUAUUUGGAUAUUGGAGGGAAUUUAGACCAAAAAUAAGAGGUCAUCUCCUUUGUAAUUUCUCACUCUUGAGCUUAAUAAAAUGCUGCUGAAUUUGCUUUCUA
Vigna radiata var. radiata (mung bean) is the source of this 932-nucleotide long non-coding RNA. RefSeq lists it as uncharacterized. The transcript has 2 exons. The record is from RefSeq and is a predicted model, not a curated record. Lineage: Eukaryota; Viridiplantae; Streptophyta; Magnoliopsida; Fabales; Fabaceae.